GUACAUGGUCAUUAAGUGUUUGUCCUAUGUUGGUAACUGGUCUCCCAUAGUUGUUCCUAGUUCACUUCAACCCCACGAUCCUAAGCACACCUGUACCUGCCCUGGAAUCCCUCAGCCAUGUUUGUCCCACAGAGCAUCACUAUCAAACAGUUCACUGUGGACUCCUCGUAGCAGAAGUACAGUAGGGGACAGCAAGUGUCAGCUCCAUCAGGUGUGUGCAAUCUUGUGUAACCUACUUUGUAGCUUUCCAUCAGGCUUUAGGGACAGACAGGCACCCAUCAUGAGACAGGGCUUGACAAUCUCAGCCGGGCGUGGUGGCUCACGCCUUUAAUCCCAGCACUCCGGAGGCAGAGGCAGGCGAUUUCUGAGUUCGAGGCCAGCCUGGUCUACAAAGUGAGUUCCAGGACAGCCAGGGCUAUACAGAGAAACCCUGUCUCGAAAAACCAAAAACCAAAAAAUAAAAAAUAAAAAAAGAAGCCAGUCUCUAACCAGUGGCCCUCAGAUAUAAACAAUGCAGGCCAUUGGUUCUACAAGAAAAGAGCUGCUGAUGAAGUAAUCAUGACUUAUAAAUCCAUGAGCAGCUUCACCAACUCACGACAGUGUUUUUGAGGAAUAGGCAGCCAUACCUGGGUGUCUGAUGCCUGUUGGUGGCCCUGUCUGAGUCAACACUUUUGGCAACGCCUGGGUAAAGUCUGAGGUCAUUUGCUCAGUGAGAGACUGACACUACUUUUUUAUAGAAAUUAUCUUUGUGUAGAAGUCUGAAAAACUUAGCCAACUUGCCCCUGGGCUUUUUGGCUCAGUGGUAUGUAAUCUUUUAUUUCAAGAGUAUUAGUAUAUAAAUAGGAAAUAGGUACAUAAAAUAAUGAAGACACAUUGAUUUGUGCAAUAGGUAGUGCAAGAAGCCAAAGAUAACUCAUGCUAUUGCCUACUAAAAAGCAAGUGUGCUUGUUAAUUCCAAGUAACAUAGGAUAGAGUCUGCAACCCUCUUUCAUAUUGAGUAUAUUAGUAGCUGUACUUAAUAGAGUUGCUUGGGUGUUUGUUGGUCAUUAAGAAAAGCAAAGUGCACAAGCUAGCCAUGUGUUAACUAUCCACCUGCUUGACAGAUGGUUGUAAAUGCUGUAAGACUUACUCUUGGACAUUCACCACAUUGAAAAUCAGAACUUUGAUAUUAACUCUAAACUUUAUUAUUACAUAGUUCUGCUUGACCCACUAAAUUCUAAAUCUUCUCUUCCCUCUUGUGCUGAAUGUAGGACCCCUGAUUUAAUUAUUUACUGUGGAACCAUUGUCCUGAGUCAGGAGGAUAGAUGAGGAAAGAAUGAGAGCGUGGCUGGCAUCGCUUCAUGAUUACAUUCUGGGAAAGAUCUUGCCUGUUAACCUCUAGAGAAGGAGGGACGAUACAGACAAUGAAGACUAUAGCAGACUGAAUUACUCUCUGAGAUGAGGACUUUGCUAUUGCCAUUGCAGGUAAGAUGUUUUAUGACUCCAUAAUCAGCAAAGAAUCCUGUCAGUAAGGUCUGAUUUCUUCGCAGUGUUCAUUGGAUCUUUUAAGUCUACAAACCAAUGAUACAAAUGCAAUAUGAAACAAUUGCUAGGAAGCUAAUUGGCAUAUUUUACUCACAGCCCAUUUUAUUUUCGCACAGCAGUGUACUUAAGUUUUCUACUUAAUAAUCUCAGUCUGCAUGUCCAAUAUGGCUGCCACCAUACACACAUGGCUGCUUAUAUAUAAAGUAAUUACUGUGAAGUGAAUUGUAAAAUUCAAUUUCUCUGUUGCAGUGCUCACACUGCAAGUUCUCAGUAGCUACCUGAGCCUUUGGGGCACUGUGUUAGGAUCAGGUUUCUAUUAUUCUGCAAAGAGCUAUUGGACAGCUCUUCACAGAGAAGGCUGCACACAGGAAGAGGGAAGAGAGACAGAUGUGACUGCUUUGAGGCAGGCAUGCGAAUUGAUCCAUCCAUGGUUCACUGAAGGCCCCUGGAAAGAGAAUCAGGAAGAGAACUCAGCAAUGAGAAAAGAAAGAAACUGUAAGGAGACCCCAGUCCCAAGCACAAGUUCUUCUCACUUCAUGAAUAUUUAUCCUAUUGCCCCCAGGGAGGCUAUGAAUGGGUCAAUAAACAAAACUGUCCCUGAAAGAAAAAGACAGAGGUCAAAGGUGGCUCAUGUGGAUCACUGAUGAGUACCCUGGGGUGUCUGAAUGGAGGGCUUUGACUAAGCCCUGUCACUCAGGAGGUCCAUCGUGAAAAAUCCCAUUUAUUAUCUCUUUCGGAUAUGAGCUUAGUCUGGCUAUCUAAAAUAACAUGGGCUGUAUUCUUGGGCUUCUGUGCACUAAAGCAGUGUAUGAAUCAACCAAGAACCCUAUAAAUGAACACUAACAAAA
Molecule: long non-coding RNA, 2372 nt
Filed under: Mus musculus (house mouse)
Lineage: Eukaryota; Metazoa; Chordata; Mammalia; Rodentia; Muridae
Description: RNA imprinted and accumulated in nucleus
Source: RNAcentral